Non-coding RNA from Cricetulus griseus (Chinese hamster), 6129 nucleotides. Lineage: Eukaryota; Metazoa; Chordata; Mammalia; Rodentia; Cricetidae. The record is from RefSeq and is a predicted model, not a curated record.
AGCAGAUGAGAAUCCUAGUCAUUGGCCAAGCAGCUUUGAACUUAUAACAAGUUUCUGGUAUAAUGUGAUUCAGAAAAGAAUGAAGACAAUGGAGACCUGAGGAAAUACAUUGUAUAUUUCAGUGACAUAGACAGUUUCAUAGAGCUAGUCUCCCAUUCUGAUCUGAGCAAGAGUAGGUCAUACUGAGAGCAUGGCACAGGACCAAGAUCUGCUCAGAUACAUAGCAUUUUAGAAAGUACAACCCCUGAGCAAGCCAACCUGUUCUCUCUGGGUCUUUGCCCUCUGAAGUUUUCACUCACGUGGUCCAUUGCUGCCCAUCACAACAUGUGCCUUACUAUAUUGUACUACACUUUUGCUGAUCAAGAUUUCAUAUUAAGGACUAAGGCAGUCUGGCCUGGCACAGAAGCAUCAAGCUGUAAGAUCAAGGUGCAUGGUCCAGUCAGUUCUAACUCUAAGGAGAAAUGAGCACUGAAUGCAGCAAAUAUUCAAGUCCACAAUGCAGAAUUAAAUGCAUCGAGGACUGCCAAUCUUCUUUCAGAAUGAAACAGAGUACCACUCCCUGGAAGCAAUGCAAAACCACCUCAUCUUCCUGGACAGAACUGUUCACUUCAUUCCUUAUUUGCCCCAUACUUGGUCAUUGGAAAAAUAACCUUUCUAGGACAUUUCUCUGAAAAAAAAAAGAAGUGUGAUUUGAUCUUUCCUUCAUGACCUGGGCCAUGCCAUCCCAAUAUGAGAAGAAGCAAUAAAUUGAAGUCAGAUACUUAUUGGAAUGAAACUCCCAUUUUAAGAAGAAAUUCAGAUCUAUUUAGCUUGACCUUGGAACUUGAAUUAAAUCUUUAGACACUCAACUUUCUCCAGGGAAGUGUAAGGUUUAGAUGAGUGUAUUAAAGCUAGUGUGGUUCUGAUCUAUGUACCAAGUUAGUUAAUUUUUCAUUUAAAGGACAAAGGGUUUCACUGGAACUAAUUUAACUGACUUAAUUUGUGAUAUUCACAUACUAGUUUAGAUCCUAAGCCAGGAGAGGACUUUUAAAGAAAAAAACAUUAACAUGUCAUUAAAAAAACAUAAUAUGUUCACUGAUGGAUGUUUUGACAGUGGCCACAGCUGCCUCUGGCUGGGGACCUCUGACAUGGUUCAUUUUUGCCCCUGUUGUUAACGAAUUGUGUGACCCAGUAUGAACAUCUUCACCUCAUUCUGAUGCACUCUCUAUUCCCUUUAUCAUCUUUCUCAGAGCAGUAUACUGAGAAUUAAUGAGUUAAUCACCAUAAAGUACAUAAAAAGACCUUCUAAGAGAGUAUGUUAGGAAUGUUAUGUUAUAGAAACAACCACUUUUAUCUCAAAGUAAAAAAAAAAUACCACUGUUCUAAUGGUUAUCACAUACAUUCUAAAUGUGUAACUAUAUCGGCUUGGUUUGUAAUCGGUCUGGGAUUAUACCGGAACUGACUGUAUAAUUUACUCAUGAAUCAACAAAACUGAAGUCAUCCAGCAUUUCCUCAAGAAUACUUUUGUCCUUUAACUGUUCAGAGUUUAGCAAUUCUCAGAAACUCCGAAGAUUAACUUCAUUUCUCUUUUACUGACACUUUCUAUUCAAUAAUUGCUCUUAAUUUCAUAAGGUUUUCUUUUGGGGGGAUUUCAGGGCAGGGUUUUUCUGUGGCUUUGGAGACUGUCCUGGAACUAGCUCUUGUAGACCAGGCUGGUCUGUAACUCAUAGAGAUCUGCCUGCCUCUGCCACCUGAGUGCUGGGAUUAAAGGCAUCCGCCACCACCACCCAGCAAAUUUCGUUUUUUUAAUUAAAUUUUUGUAAUUAUUGCCCCUCCUUUAAGCUUAUGUUUUUCUUUUCUUUUCUUUUUUUGUAUAUGAUGGAAUAUGUAACUGUUUUGUUUUCUUUCAUAGUACUAACAAGCAGAUCACUGGAACAUUCAAUAAAUUAUGCUUGUCAGUUAAAUACAAAUAAGAAGAGAGAUUAAAUUAACCAGUGUAUCCUUUCAGUUUUCCCACAGACCCCUAAUUCUCUCUUUAAAAACAAAAACAACUGUGCAUUGUAUCAGACAGAAAAACAAAUAGCCUUUGUCCUAUUGAUACUUAUAGAUUCGUAAUUAUUAUUUAGUUAAACUAUGUUGAUUCUUAGGACUAUAAGUUUUAAUAUUUUAAAUAAUUUCAGAUUUUGAAAUGAAUAUCUAUAGAUGAAAUGAACAAAUUGGUGAUGAGACCAAAGUCUGAAUUAAAAUUCACUUAUGUUUUAAGUUUCAUAUAUACCUCAUACACAAAUCUAUUUCUAAUAUUCUACAUGAAUUUUAUAUGAACAUUUCUACAUAUUAACUCUAACCCAUCACAUAAAAUCAAAUGUAUAUUUUCUACCUGUGCCUUAAUGUUUGCAUUAAAAUUUUUGAAAGUUUUAAGCAGUUUGGAUUUCAAAUUUUUAAAUUAUAUAUGCUCAACCUAUAGGUAUAAUGUUGAUAAAGUCAAUAGACAAAAAUGAAUUAUAAUUACAUUACCAGUUAAGGCUAUACUGAUGACUUUCAGCAUAGAUUUGUGGCCUUGAGAAUAAAGUAUAUACAUACAGCAGUAAAAGGAUCUUUUAAGAGGACACAGCUAGGUCUAGGACAAAAUAUGAAAAAAAGACAAUACUUUGGUUUUCAAAGUUGGAGAUAGCACCCUCUACCCAUCCAUGAAGGAAAUGCUUAGUACUGUAAGUAUCUGUAAAACAAACUGCCAACAAGCCUUUCAAAAGAAGAAUUUUUGUAUGUUGAACCAUCCCUGCUUUUUGGGGAUGAAACCUAUUUGAUCGUGUUGGAUGAUUUUUCUGAUGUGUUCUUGGAUUAGAUGUUCCAGUAUUUUGUUGAGUACUUUUGCAUCAAUGUUCGUGAGGGGUGUCUCAAGGCUAACAGUUUCAAGUGUAUGGUUUUCUCUUUCACAAAUCAUUUUUCUUCAAAUCUCAGCUUGUUUGAGCCCUUUGGAUGGCUGAGGGGCCAAGGUAAGUUCUUGCAGUCCUUGUGAGACAAGGCAUCUUUUGCCCUAUGAAUUUGGGUGCUUUGUUAUGGAACACACACUUGUCACAGCUUUGCUGUGAUUUAUUCUUCUUAACCUUGCAAAUGUAAUUUUUAUAAACAUGCUUUCCAUUUAUCUCAGUCAUUUUUGAAGAAGAGAUUGUGGACACCUCCCCACCCACUUCCUUUUUAUUUGUCAUCAUCCUUUUCGUCUUGUUUUAGAUUUUUUUGAAUUAAUUUAUUUUCUAUCCAUAUAAAGUGUGUCUGUUAGAUAUAUGUCUUGUAUACUGCAUAAACCUGAUUUAUGUUAUGCUGUUCAGUAUAACUACCUUUGUAGAGGUAGAUGUGGGUCAUUAAUAUUUCACCAUAACACAUGACCUGCCUUAGUUUAAUAUUUUGUGAAGUGAAUAUUGUUGUUGGCUUUGUAAAUCUCCCUCAAUUCCCCUGUCAGUUUGAGUUUGUAAAAAGGUUUUUAUUUGUGAACCAAUUACAUUAUAUAUUAACACGUUGAAAACUGUAAAUGAAAUUCACAUGUUCAAUACUGUUUUAUUUUAAUUGUUGGAUGCCUAACAAAAUGACUGAAACAUCUUCACUAAUUUUACUAUUUUUAGUAUGUACACCCAUAUUUGCAUCUUUCUCUGACAACCAUAAAAAAGUUGAAUGUACUUUUGUUUUGUUCUGUAUAUUCACUCUUGACAGUCUCCUAGUACAAGUUAGUUGUAUUAUUAUUUUAAAGUUUCAAGAUUUCCACUUACCUCCAACCCAUAAAUUCUAAUAGCUGUUUCAUACCACAUGUUUCCUCAUUUCCAGGUUGUGUAUUUUGAUUUAUGGCUAGAUAUUAUCAUCUAAUAGUUCUUUUCAAAAGGCCUCUGGGUUCCUUUGCUCUUGAAUUCUGCAGGUUGUGGAAUAUUUUCUCUAUGGUUUUCAGGCAUCUGUUACAAUUCAAAAGCCAUAAAAUUCUUGAAUCAAUCAAAACUUUUUUCUUUCUGUAUUCUAUAAACAUUUAUCAUUGCUUUUGAAAAAUUAAGGUGUGUGUGAACAUUUUCAGUUUGCGGCUCUUAUGGGUUAACAUUUUGGGUCACUUUCUCAUAGAAAUUUUACCCCUAGGACUACAAUUACAGUUACUUAACUAUAUAUGUAUCAUAUGAGAGCCCCCAACAAAAAAUAAACCUCAGAAGGUGAAUGAAUAUAUACAGACAUAACUUUGCUUAUACCAAAUGUGUGCUACAUCUUCAGAAAUCUCAUAUAAUAAAGGGAUGUUUCCAUAUAUAUUUUCUUUUAUCUAGAAACUUUCUUCUAUCACAAUUUUUACUGUUAUUUCUGUUCCAUUGGCACCUUAUACUUAUGAAUAUGCAAAUUUAUAAAUAGAAAAUAUAUGAAUAGACACUCACACACACUAUGAUCUUUGAUUCUUUCUCCUCCUUGGUCUUUCGGUCUUUUACUGUCUAUAUUAUAAGUUUUAUAUUCCACAUUUGAACUGCAUGAUACUGACUUCUUACAUUCCAUCUAUUCUGUUAUUUUAAGACUCACUUUUCAGACAUGAUUUGUGAAAUGGAUUUAUUGUUUGACUCCAUUUCUCUUCUGAGCUCUGUCAGUUUGUGUUUAGAAGUCUAGUAUGUUAUUGCUUCUUUCUGCUGUUGUGUGUAUUUUUAAAAUUUAUUUACUUAUUUUACAUCCUGACCAAAAUUUUCCUCUCCUUUGUGUCCUCCCAGCUUCCCCAUCUAUACCCUCAUCAUCAGAAAAUGGCAGAUCUCACAUUGACAUCAAUAAAACAAUAUGACAUAUACUGUAGAAGUAAGACUUGUAUUAAGGCUAGGCGAAGGGAUCCAGUAUGAGCACCAGGGACCCAAAAGCCAGAAAAAGAGUCAAAGACAGACCUGCACUGUUAGGAAUCCCACAAGAAGAUCAAGCAACAGAACUGUAUCAUAUAUGCAGAGGGCCUAGGUCAGUCGAUGCUGGUUUCUUGGUUGUUGGUUCAGACUCUGUGAGCUCCUAUAAGCCAUAUCAAUUGAUUUCGUGGUUUUUCUUGUGAUGUUCUGACCUCUCUGACUUCUAAAGUCCUUCCUCCUCUCUUCUACAGGAUUCACCAAACUCCACCUCGUGUUUGACUGUAGGUUUUUAGCUGUUUACAUCAGUUGCUGGAUGAAGUCUCUCUGAUGGUAACUGAGCCAGGCAAUAAUCUGAGUACAUCAGAAUAUCCUUAGGCAUCAUUACUCUGACAUUUUUCUCUCUAGUCCUGUUUAGUCCUACCCUAGGUUUCUACAUCACCCCAAAAUUCAGCCCCUUUCCAGUUGUCUCUUUCAGCACUCUUCCCCUCCAUCACCCCACCUGAUCCCUCAUGAUCACAUUCCCACCCACCCUCACUCCACCCAUGAAAUCUCUUCCAUUUCCCUAGUCAAAUGACCCCCUGGGGUCCUUCUUGUUACCUAGUCUCUCUGGGUCUGUGCAUUUUAUCAUGGUUUUCCUUUACUUUACAGCUAAUAUUCAUACAUAAGUAAGUACUUUAUGGGUUUGGGUUACCUCACUCAGGAUUGAAUUUUUCUAAUUCCAUUUAUUUGCCCUUCAUGUUUCAUGAUGUCAUUAUUCUUAACAGCUGAGUAAUACUCCAUUAUGAAAAUGUAAAACCUUCUUUUUAUCCACUUUUCAGUUGAGGGGUAUCUCAGUUAUUUCUAGAUUCUGGUUAUUGUGACUAAAGUUGUUGGAACAUUGUUUAAGCAUCCUUCAGGUGCUCAUACCCAAGAGUGGCAUAGCUGAAUCUUAGGGUAUAUUGAUUCCCAGUUUCCUCAGAAACCACCAUAUUGAUUUCCAAAGUGGCUGUACAUAAAAGUGUAAUGUGAGAUUUUUGUCUUCCAGGUCCUGCUGCCUUUGAGCCCACAAAUGAACACACAGAGACUUAUAUUAAUUAUUAAAUUGUUGGUGGGUGGCUUGGGCUUCUUAUUGUCUAGCUCUGCCUUAAUUAUUAACCCAUUUCUAUCAAGGUAUGUAUUGCCAUGAGGCUGUAGGUUACCCGAUAAUACCCAGCAUGGUGCUACUCCUCUGGCAGCAUAAUCACUCUGUGUGGGGCUCACUUUGCCUUCCUUUCCCAGAAUUCUCCUUGUCUCCUAGACCUGCCUAUCUUCCUGCCUCAUUGGCCGAACAGUGUUU